CGAGAGUAGGAAUUAAAGGAGACGAUGUUCAGAAAACGCUUCAAUGUUGACAAAGAACGAGACAAUUGCUGAACAAAUUCGAGAUCGACGAGCCACGAAAUUCCUCUGCAACGAUUUCAAAUCCAAUCUCAAAUUCGAGCUGAUCGCGUGACGACGGCUUCUUUUUCCAAUUACCCUACCCAUUCUUAUUCAUUAACCUUCAAAGAAAUUUCUGAGAAUCAAAACCCUAAAAUCAACGAACGAAAUCGAUAACGAUGAAAACCAGAUCAAAACCCUAAAAUCAACGAAACAAUCUCAAGUAAGUUAUGAGGCAACAGAAUCUGAAUUGUGGAGUAUUUAUAGCGUACAAUUAAG
RNAcentral lists this long non-coding RNA (354 nucleotides) under Panax ginseng (ginseng). Its description in RNAcentral is "long non-coding RNA (PGIN_LNC012408)". Lineage: Eukaryota; Viridiplantae; Streptophyta; Magnoliopsida; Apiales; Araliaceae. The record is from RNAcentral.